Molecule: transfer RNA, 68 nt
Filed under: Polypedates mutus (Burmese whipping frog)
Lineage: Eukaryota; Metazoa; Chordata; Amphibia; Anura; Rhacophoridae
Description: tRNA-Glu
Rfam family: tRNA
About the family: Transfer RNA (tRNA) molecules are approximately 80 nucleotides in length.
Source: RNAcentral
GUUCUUGAAGUUGAUUACAGCGGUAGUUUUUCGGACUACAGGUCUAGGUUAGAACCCUGGCAGGAAUU